RNAcentral lists this ribosomal RNA (464 nucleotides) under Artemia urmiana. RNAcentral's name for it is "partial 16S ribosomal RNA". It matches the Rfam family "Archaeal large subunit ribosomal RNA", at positions 2005 to 2681 of the family's 2987-position model. Lineage: Eukaryota; Metazoa; Arthropoda; Branchiopoda; Anostraca; Artemiidae. The record is from RNAcentral.
GGGCCGUGGUAUACUGACCAUGCGAAGGUAGCAUAAUCAUUAGCCUUUUGAUUUGAGGCUGGAAUGAAUGGUCUGACGAGAGGCAACCUGUCUCCUUAAUUAACUUGAAUUUAAUCUUUAAGUGAAAAAGCUUAAAUAGCCUUGGAGGACGAUAAGACCCUAUAGAUCUUUACAUCCGGCUUUUUCAUCUAACGGUGGGUAAUCGGGUGGAAGAGGAGGAUGUUUGGUUGGGGCGACGUCGAGAGGGGAAUAAACACUCGAGAAUAUACAUACAUCAAUAAAUGAUCAUUGAUCCUUAGAUGAAAAUAGAGUAAGUUACCUUAGGGAUAACAGCGUAAUUCUUUUUGAGAGCUCAAAUCGACAAAAGAGUUUGCGACCUCGAUGUUGGUUCAGGGACCCUAUUUGGUGCAGCAGCUUAAUCAGGUAGUCUGUUCGACUAUUAAACCCCUACGUGAUCUGAUUCA